This is a long non-coding RNA of Paramisgurnus dabryanus, 1095 nucleotides long. RefSeq lists it as uncharacterized. NCBI's taxonomy places the organism in Eukaryota, Metazoa, Chordata, Actinopteri, Cypriniformes, Cobitidae. The record is from RefSeq and is a predicted model, not a curated record.
AGCAGCUCGAGUACGGUGCGGUCCGAGCCCUUCAAAUUGGAAUAGUGAUGAUGAUCUUGUCAAUGCUGAGAUUUUCAUGCAUCAACAGCCACUACAUCUGGAUCAGAUUGAACAAGAAACAGACAGCAAGGGUUGUCAGAUCAGAAACAGAAUGACACACAAACACAAGAAACUUCACAGGCAGAUCAACAUGCAAUUUGAAGACGUGUGAUAAAAUACAGAGAGGUGAAGUAGUGUGUCUUUCCAGAUCCCCAAAUCAUUCCUUCUUAAAAGAUGAGCCUGAAGAGGAGAUUUGGGAAGAUGCUGUUUCAUAAGUCGCUUUGCCAGAUCACCUGUGGUCGGGAUGUCUGCUAACAAGAUGCCUUGCUGGUCUGGGCGAGUUUAAAGUCUUACACAGACAGUCCAGAAGUUCUGAAGUCCAUCUUCGAUUUCAUUGGUAAGGGACUACACAAAAGGCUGUUUGACCCACACGUAAAGCAACCUGUCAGUGUUUGCUUUGUUAAGCAUCUCUUUUAGGGGUGUUGAAAAUAUAAAGUUAAUAUCACUUAAGCAUUCAGUAUUGGAUUCAUUUGUAACCACAUCGAUCAGAAGCACCAUUCACUACCAUAGUAUUCUUUAUCCUACUAUGUAAGUCAAUGGUGCUUCUGGUCAGUUUGGUUGCAGACAUUCCUUAAAAAAUCUUUGUGUUCAUCAGGACGAUUUAAGGUGUAGAAACAUCUCAGCAACCUCAGUUGUUGCAAAGGGUCUGAAUAUGUAUAAUGUAAAUAUGAUGUUUUCUUUUUUCAUACAUUUGCAAAAGUUUCUAAAAUUCUGUUUUUACUUUGUAAAAAUAUCUAAACAAUUACAGUAUCAUGCAACAACAUAAAAUUGAAAGUGAAAGGUGUAUGAUUUCUGAAUGCACUGUAGAUGAUAUUAAUUGAACCUCAUUGUCAUCUUCGUAAACACAACAGCUUUGUUCUUUCAUCAGAUGGCUAUGCAAUGUUUCAAGUCAGACUAUCAAAGAAAACGCAUCUUGCCCUGAUGUGCAAUAACAAGAUUUUUUUGUACAUGGGCUAAAAUGCAGCAUUUUUUGAAAAUUAAAUAUCUUGUGUUUUU